This 74-nucleotide transfer RNA is filed under the name marine sediment metagenome. Its description in RNAcentral is "tRNA-Arg". It matches the Rfam family "tRNA". From Rfam's summary of the family: Transfer RNA (tRNA) molecules are approximately 80 nucleotides in length. The record is from RNAcentral.
GUCCCCAUAGCUCAGCUGGAUAGAGUGCUCCGCUACGAACGGAGAAGUCGGGGGUUCGAGUCCCUCUAGGGAUA